This 351-nucleotide non-coding RNA is filed under the name Perkinsus marinus ATCC 50983. RNAcentral's name for it is "Eukaryotic small subunit ribosomal RNA". It matches the Rfam family "Eukaryotic small subunit ribosomal RNA", at positions 1 to 353 of the family's 1831-position model. Lineage: Eukaryota; Perkinsozoa; Perkinsida; Perkinsidae. The record is from Rfam by way of RNAcentral.
CACCUGGUUGAUCCUGCCAGUAGUCAUAUGCUUGUCUCAAAGAUUAAGCCAUGCAUGUCUAAGUAUAAGCUUUAAACGGCGAAACUGCGAAUGGCUCAUUAAAACAGUUAUAGUUUAUUUGGUGAUCGAUUACUAUUUGGAUAACCGUAGUAAUUCUAGAGCUAAUACAUGCGUCAAGGCCCGACUUCGGAAGGGCUGCGUUUAUUAGAUACAGAACCAACCUAGGCUCCGCCUAGUCCUUGUUGGUGAUUCAUAAUAACCCGGCGAAUCGCACGGCUUGUCCGGCGAUGGACCAUUCAAGUUUCUGACCUAUCAGCUAUGGACGGUAGGGUAUUGGCCUACCGUGGCGUU